UUUGUUUCUAGUAUUUAUCAAGAAUGAAUCUGGAAUCUUCUCAAAGCCUCCAUACCUUCAGAGUGUUAUUUUCCUUUUUGUCAUAAGGUGUCUGGAAAUGAAGUAUGGAAAUGAAAUAAUGAAUAAAGACCCAGUUUUCAGAAUCUCUCCACGGAGUAGAGAAACUCAUCCCAAUCCGGAAGAGCCCGAAGAAGAAGAUGAAGAUGUUCAAGCUGAAAGAGUCCAAGCAGCAAAUGCACUCACUGCUCCAAACUUGGAGGAGGAACCAGUCAUAACUGCAAGCUGUUUACACAAGGAAUAUUAUGAGACAAAGAAAAGUUGCUUUUCAACAAGAAAGAAGAAAAUAGCC
This 349-nucleotide long non-coding RNA is filed under the name Homo sapiens (human). Its description in RNAcentral is "HSALNT0244407". The record is from RNAcentral. Lineage: Eukaryota; Metazoa; Chordata; Mammalia; Primates; Hominidae.